AUGUCGUACGUCGACGGCUUCCCCACGGAUAAGUUCUUCCUCCGAUUCAAUUACAUAUUCGACAUGUUUCACGUGAAGAAGCUGGAUUUUACGUUUGUCCGCCUUUAUGCCUUGCACAUGAACUACAUCAUUGAGGUUGAGCAGAUACGUUUUAUAUGUGUCGCUGACCCAUACUACAUGCACGAGGGCUUCUUGGGAGUCUGUGCACAACAUCGUGAAUACGCGAGGGAUUACAUCGUCUGUUUCAUGCUCGCCAAUCAGGACAAGGAGGUGAUUCUCGUGCCUUAUCAUCCCAUGUAA
This 300-nucleotide ribosomal RNA is filed under the name Triticum aestivum (bread wheat). RNAcentral describes it as "partial small subunit ribosomal RNA". Lineage: Eukaryota; Viridiplantae; Streptophyta; Magnoliopsida; Poales; Poaceae. The record is from RNAcentral.